AAUUUCACUAAUUAGAGACACAUUGCUGAGAUAUCUUUGCCUAAACCUCACUGCUUCUAUAAAAAUAUAUCAUAGGGCAGUAUAUAGUAUUCGUCAUGUCUAUGCAAAAGGCAUGGCCAAAGUUUUAAAUAAAUAAAAAUAUGUGGGUAUACACCAAUUGAAAUAAAAAUCAGAAAAUAGUCCACCUCAUAUUGAGUGGUUGCGGUCUCACAUGGAUAUGAUCGUGUGAGCAAUGCCAGGAUAGCCGUCGGAGCCCCGUGGUUCAUCAGGAACGUCGACCUCCAUGACGACCUGGACCUAGAG
Long non-coding RNA from Bombyx mori (domestic silkworm), 303 nucleotides. RefSeq lists it as uncharacterized. Lineage: Eukaryota; Metazoa; Arthropoda; Insecta; Lepidoptera; Bombycidae. The transcript is spliced from 3 exons. The record is from RefSeq and is a predicted model, not a curated record.